UACGAAGGGGGCUAGCGUUGCUCGGAAUUACUGGGCGUAAAGGGAGCGUAGGCGGGUUAUCAAGUUGGGGGUGAAAGCCCGGGGCUCAACCUCGGAAUUGCCUUCAAAACUGAUAACCUGGAGUAUGGAAGAGGUAAGUGGAACUCCGAGUGUAGAGGUGAAAUUCGUAGAUAUUCGGAAGAACACCAGUGGCGAAGGCGACUUACUGGUCCAUUACUGACGCUGAGGCUCGAAAGCGUGGGGAGCAAACAGG
This 253-nucleotide ribosomal RNA is filed under the name Asticcacaulis solisilvae. Its description in RNAcentral is "partial 16S ribosomal RNA". It matches the Rfam family "Bacterial small subunit ribosomal RNA", at positions 524 to 776 of the family's 1533-position model. Lineage: Bacteria; Pseudomonadati; Pseudomonadota; Alphaproteobacteria; Caulobacterales; Caulobacteraceae. The record is from RNAcentral. RNAcentral also lists the same sequence under 2 other names.